This 480-nucleotide ribosomal RNA is filed under the name uncultured bacterium. RNAcentral's name for it is "partial 16S ribosomal RNA". It matches the Rfam family "Bacterial small subunit ribosomal RNA", at positions 29 to 523 of the family's 1533-position model. The record is from RNAcentral.
AACGAACGCUAGCGGCGGGCCUCAAACAUGCAAGUCGUACGCGAAAGGAGCUUCGGCUCUGAGUAAAGUGGCGCACGGGUGAGUAACACGUAACUAACGUCCCCCCUCGCUGGGGACAACUCCGGGAAACCGGAGCUAAUACCGAAUGAUCUCACGGGAACCUUGGUUUCUGUGGGUAAAGCUUUUGGCGCGAGGGGAUCGGGUUGCGGCUGAUUAGCUAGUUGGUGGGGUAAUGGCCCACCAAGGCGACGAUCAGUAGCUGGUCUGAGAGGAUGAUCAGCCACACUGGAACUGACACACGGUCCAGACUCCCACGGGAGGCAGCAGUUGGGAAUAUUGGACAAUGGGCUAACGCCUGAUCCAGCCACGCCGCGUGAGUGAUGAAGGCCUUCGGGUCGUAAAGCUCUUUUAGUGGGGAAGAAUAAAUGACGGUACCCACAGAAAAAGCACCGGCUAACUCCGUGCCAGCCGCCGCAGUAA